UACGUAGGGUCCGAGCGUUGUCCGGAAUUAUUGGGCGUAAAGGGCUCGUAGGCGGUUUGUCGCGUCGGGAGUGAAAACACGGGGCUUAACCCCGUGCCUGCUUCCGAUACGGGCAGACUAGAGGUAUGCAGGGGAGAACGGAAUUCCUGGUGUAGCGGUGAAAUGCGCAGAUAUCAGGAGGAACACCGGUGGCGAAGGCGGGUCUCUGGGCCGAUACUGACGCUGAGGAGCGAAAGCGUGGGGAGCAAACAGG
This 253-nucleotide ribosomal RNA is filed under the name uncultured bacterium. RNAcentral's name for it is "partial 16S ribosomal RNA". It matches the Rfam family "Bacterial small subunit ribosomal RNA", at positions 524 to 776 of the family's 1533-position model. The record is from RNAcentral.